AAGAAAGUGACUGCCGCCCCGCACAGGGGCGAGCUAAUAGACCGCGAACCAAGCAAAUUUCAUAGAGGCCGAAGCGCAUCAAACGGUGUAGAACCCCGAACCCCAAGCGCCAGCGGCCAAAU
The sequence is a small RNA, 122 nucleotides long. It matches the Rfam family "Burkholderia sRNA Bp1_Cand684_SIPHT". The record is from Rfam.